AGCAGCCGCGGUAAUUCCAGCUCCAAUAGCGUAUAUUAAAGUUGUUGCAGUUAAAAAGCUCGUAGUUGAAUUUCGGGACUAGUACGUUGGUCGUGCCUUCGGUACGUACUGGUGUUACUGAUUCCUACCUUCUGACGAACCGUCAUGUCAUUAAUUUGGUGUGGCGGGGAAUCAGGACUGUUACUUUGAAAAAAUUAGAGUGUUUAAAGCAGGCUCGCGCUUGAAUACAUUAGCAUGGAAUAAUGAAAUAGGACGUUGACCCUAUUUUGUUGGUUUCUAGGAUUGACGUAAUGAUUAAUAGGGAUAGUUGGGGGCAUUAGUAUUCAAUUGUCAGAGGUGAAAUUCUUGGAUUUAUUGAAGACUAACUACUGCGAAAGCAUUUGCCAAGGAUGUUUUCAUUAAUCAAGAACGAAAGUUAGGGGAUCGAAGACGAUCAGAUACCGUCGUAGUCUUAACCAUAAACUAUGCCGACUAGGGAUCGGAUGAUGUUAUUUUUAAUGACUCA
RNAcentral lists this ribosomal RNA (505 nucleotides) under Glomus sp. MO-G5. Its description in RNAcentral is "SSU rRNA". It matches the Rfam family "Eukaryotic small subunit ribosomal RNA", at positions 569 to 1078 of the family's 1831-position model. The record is from RNAcentral. Lineage: Eukaryota; Fungi; Glomeromycota; Glomeromycetes; Glomerales; Glomeraceae.